RNAcentral lists this ribosomal RNA (511 nucleotides) under Acinetobacter sp. RNAcentral describes it as "bacterial SSU rRNA". It matches the Rfam family "Bacterial small subunit ribosomal RNA", at positions 74 to 580 of the family's 1533-position model. The record is from RNAcentral. Lineage: Bacteria; Pseudomonadati; Pseudomonadota; Gammaproteobacteria; Moraxellales; Moraxellaceae.
UGUAGCUUGCUAUAUUUCCUAGCGGCGGACGGGUGAGUAAUGCUUAGGAAUCUGCCUAUUAGUGGGGGACAACGUUUCGAAAGGAACGCUAAUACCGCAUACGCCCUACGGGGGAAAGCAGGGGAUCUUCGGACCUUGCGCUAAUAGAUGAGCCUAAGCCAGAUUAGCUAGUUGGUGGGGUAAAGGCCUACCAAGGCGACGAUCUGUAGCGGGUCUGAGAGGAUGAUCCGCCACACUGGGACUGAGACACGGCCCAGACUCCUACGGGAGGCAGCAGUGGGGAAUAUUGGACAAUGGGGGGAACCCUGAUCCAGCCAUGCCGCGUGUGUGAAGAAGGCCUUUUGGUUGUAAAGCACUUUAAGCGGGGAGGAGGCUCUUCUAGUUAAUACCUAGGAUGAGUGGACGUUACCCGCAGAAUAAGCACCGGCUAACUCUGUGCCAGCAGCCGCGGUAAUACAGAGGGUGCGAGCGUUAAUCGGAUUUACUGGGCGUAAAGCGUACGUAGGCGGCU